CCUACGGGUGGCAGCAGUGAGGAAUAUUGGUCAAUGGGCGGGAGCCUGAACCAGCCAAGCCGCGUGAGGGAAGAAGGUACAGCGUAUCGUAAACCUCUUUUGUCAGGGAACAAAGGCGGGGACUAGUCCCCGGAUGAGGGUACCUGAAGAAAAAGCAUCGGCUAACUCCGUGCCAGCAGCCGCGGUAAUACGGAGGAUGCGAGCGUUAUCCGGAUUUAUUGGGUUUAAAGGGUGCGCAGGCGGUAUGUCAAGUCAAGGGUGAAAUCCCCGCGCUCAACGUGGGAACUGCCUUUGAAACUGGCAAACUUGAGUUUGUGAGAGGAUAGUGGAAUUCCAGGUGUAGGAGUGAAAUCCGUAGAUAUCUGGAGGAACAUCAGUGGCGAAGGCGACUAUCUGGCACAUAACUGACGCUGAGGAGCGAAAGCGUGGGUAGCAAACAGGAUUAGAUACCCGUGUAGUC
This 460-nucleotide ribosomal RNA is filed under the name uncultured bacterium. Its description in RNAcentral is "partial 16S ribosomal RNA". It matches the Rfam family "Bacterial small subunit ribosomal RNA", at positions 338 to 795 of the family's 1533-position model. The record is from RNAcentral.